RNAcentral lists this long non-coding RNA (306 nucleotides) under Drosophila guanche. Lineage: Eukaryota; Metazoa; Arthropoda; Insecta; Diptera; Drosophilidae. The record is from RNAcentral.
GUCUGAAUGGGGUUCAUCAUCUAAGUCUCGUUGACAUCCAGCAGAAGUAAUUGAAAAGCAGACAUAAUUGCAUUCAAUGGAUUUUCAAUUAAAAUUCAAUGUGGGAUGUAUCAAUUCGACUAAUGGCAUACUGUUACCCAGCUCCACUGCCAAUAUUCGAUAUAUGCGCUGUAUAUAUCCUGUUUAAGCUGGCUUUUGGUAGACAUCCAAUUUUGUUUUGUCAACUUCACUUUGGCCUAAUAACAAUAUCGAGUCAUACAUGUGCAUGUUUGGGAUGAAAGAAUCAAAUCAAAGUUGACCAGAGAC